Panicum virgatum (switchgrass) is the source of this 1624-nucleotide long non-coding RNA. RefSeq lists it as uncharacterized. The record is from RefSeq and is a predicted model, not a curated record. The transcript has 2 exons. Lineage: Eukaryota; Viridiplantae; Streptophyta; Magnoliopsida; Poales; Poaceae.
CCCGUCCCCUUCCUCCAGCCUCCCCGCGAGGAGCGCCGCCAGCCGCCAGCCGCCCGCUCCUCUCCCAGCGGCCGCUCGCCUCCCCUCCCCUCCUUAACUCCGCGCCAUCAAGACCAGUGGAGAGCCGCCGCGCCCCCCUCCCUUCCCUUUUCCGUUUCUCCUCCCCCUUUCCCAGUAACGCCCGCACCACCAUGCGCCAUUCAUGGCCACCAUGGCCGGCCCGCACCCAAGCGCCGCGUCUCUUCCUCUGCCGGCGUUCCCCCUCCCUCUCGGCCUACAAAAGCCGCACUCAAGCCCCGACCGCUCCUCCUUUUCCACCUCCUCUCCUCGCCCCUGCUCCACAAGCUCUACAGAGCAGCGCCGCCACCACCAAGCUAGGGCCGCCGCCGUCAAUCCGCCACUCCGUCGCCUCCCCUUCGACUCCGACCGCCGCAGGAGCUUCGCGAGACGACGUGCCGUUCGAGGGAGAGCAAGAGCAAGUAUAUGAGGAAGAGAACCAGCAACUAAACGAGGAAGGCAAGUGGAUUUCCCCCUCUACAUGUUCCAUUUGAUCCCAAUAAUAGCAUGAUGAAACACUUUACUGUAUUGUUAUAUGCAUGAAAUUGAUGGAAAUCCUAUUAAGGACUUUACCUAGUCUUUUUACCUAAGUCUUGAAACACCGGGUUUUAUAUCUUGUUGGGUAGAAACGCUUAGUUGCUUUACCAUGGGUUGGUUAUGUUGCAAUCUUUGAAAAAUGUUAAACAUGAUUUUAUUCACUGUCAUAUCAUGGUUUUUGGACAAGAUCACUUUGUUUAAAUGAAACAUGGAGAACCACCCAAGAAAACUGUACAACCACAAUGUCAUAUGGCUCUGACCUUAACUGAUUAAUUAGGCGUGUAGUUAACUGGUAGCCUUACCGGAAGGGCAAGGAGGGGGUCGGUGAUGGGGUAUAGCCCAGUUCUCUUGGGGUAGUAGCCUUUGCUAAGGUACUGACCAUUAGGGAGGGUUAUGGUCCACACUGCUACUGAAACUCUAGCGGGCUAUCUAGUUUUCUGCAUGUCUAUGUAAAGGCUUCAUAGUGGACUCCUCGCCACUCACCAAAGGAAGUGUUUAAGGGCCUUGCAAACCCGGGCGACUCAGGGGGACACGAAUUGUGGGGAAAGUAUACAGACCCUCAUAUGAUAAUGGAACUUGAAGAAUAAUUAAAUUGUGGUUCUUGGUUUUGAAAUGUUGGAUCCUUUUUGCUUAUGCUUAAGUGGGUUGGUAUAAACUUACAUCUAGAUAAUAGAAGUUUGCUAAUAAAAUUUGACCAACUAAAAUGCUAACUGCAAUAAACCUUAGCUUGUUCUUGAUGGCCUUGCAUUUUCUUCCACUUGCUGAGUACCAACCAUAACAGUACUCACCCUUGUGUAAUUGCUGUUCAAAAGAGAACAAUGAGGUGGAUUACUGCAGCGACUUUGAGGAGUUCUAGGAGCGUUCACCAGUCGAGUUCCUGUGGGAAGCUUUGUUGAAGAUCUCGUUUAUAUUGUCGGUAAAACGUUAAGACCUUCGUGUCUAUUAUCGGAGCUCUUUUUACAUUGUUAAACAUUGUCUUUGAUAUAUUCAAUUAUGACGUCUUUUAUAUGUAUGAAACUUGAUCCUGGCA